UCCACUUUAGUUUAUGAGAAUAAGGGUUUUGUAAAUCUUGGGUAAAUGUGGAC
This 53-nucleotide transfer RNA is filed under the name Pomphorhynchus rocci. Its description in RNAcentral is "tRNA-Thr". Lineage: Eukaryota; Metazoa; Acanthocephala; Palaeacanthocephala; Echinorhynchida; Pomphorhynchidae. The record is from RNAcentral.